RNAcentral lists this small RNA (538 nucleotides) under Pongo abelii (Sumatran orangutan). RNAcentral describes it as "processed transcript". The record is from RNAcentral. Lineage: Eukaryota; Metazoa; Chordata; Mammalia; Primates; Hominidae.
CUCUUUAUAGUCAGCCUUCUGCUUGCCACACUCACGGUGGGCAGUCAGUGAAUCUUCCCCAAGUGCUGACAAUUAAUACCUGGUUUAGCGGCAAAGAUUCAGAGAGGCGUGAGCAGCCCCUCUGGCCUUCAGAAUUAUUAAAGAAUUACCUAAAAGUUCUUGGACUGGAAAGAUGUGAAAAAGCCACUAACUCUAUUUUCCUAGAAUGAAGGUGAAAAGGAGAUGUGUUUAGGAACCUUCUCUGCUUCCCUAAAAGAACCCUAAAAACAGUAGUAAAAACAGUGAAGAAAACAAAGGGCCUUUAAAGUGCACUCGUUAAAACCUAAUAACUGUAUUUCUAUUACUAAACGUAGAAGUGGUAAAAAUCAUUAACAGGCAAUGUCUCCCCUGCACUCUAGGGAUUCAAAGAUCCAUCUUUCGGUUCUGUAAGACAGUCACGGCUUUUGUAACCUCGGUGCCCCCCUUCAACCUCCCGCCCCAAGCACCUCCAGGGUCGUCAGGGGUGUAAUUUUGAGUCGCGCUCCUAAGCAUCCAGACA